CGUGAGCAACCUGCCCCUGGCUCUGGGACAACCACUGGAAACGGUGGCUAAUACCGGAUACGACCCGCCUCGGCAUCGAGUGUGGGUGGAAAGUUUUUCGGCUGGGGAUGGGCUCGCGGCCUAUCAGCUUGUUGGUGGGGUAAUGGCCUACCAAGGCGACGACGGGUAGCCGGCCUGAGAGGGCGACCGGCCACACUGGGACUGAGACACGGCCCAGACUCCUACGGGAGGCAGCAGUGGGGAAUAUUGCACAAUGGGCGAAAGCCUGAUGCAGCGACGCCGCGUGAGGGAUGACGGCCUUCGGGUUGUAAACCUCUUUCAGCUCCGAAGAAGCGAAAGUGACGGUAGGAGCAGAAGAAGCACCGGCUAACUACGUGCCAGCAGCCGCGGUAAUACGUAGGGUGCAAGCGUUGUCCGGAAUUAUUGGGCGUAAAGAGCUCGUAGGCGGUGUGUCGCGUCUGCUGUGAAAACUCAGGGCUCAACU
RNAcentral lists this ribosomal RNA (484 nucleotides) under uncultured Kineococcus sp. RNAcentral describes it as "bacterial SSU rRNA". It matches the Rfam family "Bacterial small subunit ribosomal RNA", at positions 116 to 614 of the family's 1533-position model. The record is from RNAcentral. Lineage: Bacteria; Bacillati; Actinomycetota; Actinomycetes; Kineosporiales; Kineosporiaceae.